UACGGAGGAUGCAAGCGUUAUCCGGAUUUAUUGGGUUUAAAGGGUGCGCAGGUUGUUUGAUAAGUCAGUGGUGAAAGUCUGUCGCUUAACGGUAGGAUUGCCAUUGAUACUGUUGGACUUGAAUAUGGAUGAGGUAGGCGGAAUGUGUAGUGUAGCGGUGAAAUGCAUAGAUAUUACACAGAACACCGAUUGCGAAGGCAGCUUACUAAUCCAUCAUUGACGCUGAUGCACGAAAGCGUGGGGAUCGAACA
RNAcentral lists this ribosomal RNA (251 nucleotides) under uncultured prokaryote. RNAcentral's name for it is "partial 16S ribosomal RNA". It matches the Rfam family "Bacterial small subunit ribosomal RNA", at positions 524 to 774 of the family's 1533-position model. The record is from RNAcentral.